This 5604-nucleotide long non-coding RNA is filed under the name Brassica napus (rape). RNAcentral's name for it is "long non-coding RNA (BNAP_LNC003434)". The record is from RNAcentral. Lineage: Eukaryota; Viridiplantae; Streptophyta; Magnoliopsida; Brassicales; Brassicaceae.
UGGGACCGUCAGUUUUACCCGGAACUCAUGGAUAAAGGAUCACACAUUAUUCAGAUUGAUGUUGAUACAGAGAGAGGUGGUCUCUCAAUAAACCCUGAUUUCUUUGUUGACUUUGGGGAUGAACCUGAUGGUCCUGCCCUUGCUCACGAGAUGAGAUAUCCUGGGGGAGACUGCACCUCCGAUAUCUGGAUUUGAAUCUGCACCUAUGAAAGAGUAAUGCUGAAAUUUAAUCGUUGUGUUUUGUAAAGUAUAAUAAACUAGUGAUACCUCCUGUGCUACGCACGGAUCAGCUUCAAUGUCUUCCAAAUCGCACGAUCAUAAGAUUGUAAUGAUUAUAAAAAUAAAAUCGAAUGUAUCAGAUUGAAUAUUCUAAUAAAACCGAAUUUCAAUAUAAUUAAAAAAAUAUAUUUUUGUGUCAGAUCUAAUAUUUUAUACCAGAAAAGCUUGAAUCAUAUGUAUUAAUAGCUUGUAUCAGACCUAUGUAUUACUAGAAACUAGUAUAUACACCCUGUGCUAUGCACGGACCAGCUUUUGUUUACAUUUAAAUUAUUUUGUUUUAAUCAAAUGAUAGUGUUUUAUUUAUUUUUAAUAUCAAAACUAAAUACUAUUUUAGUCACAUUUGGUAGCUGGAUUAAAUGGAGACCAGAAAUUAGGCGUGUAACAUUUGAAGCAAAACAUUUUGAAGGGUAAAACAAUUACUGUUUACAAAAAAAAAACAAUUAUUAUGAAUUUUCGAAAAAGCGAUACAUCUAUGGAAGCAACAAUUUCGUUGAUAACUUUUUUUCAAAAAAAAAAACAUGUGCAUUGAACUUACAUUUUGGGUUUCUUCUCCAUAGCUUCUUUCUUUAGUCAUCACUAACCUUGAAUUCAAGGGUAAAACAAAGACAGAUGUAUAAUUGUUAGUUGAGUAUAUUCUGUUAUAGAAAACAUAUUUGUAAAAAACAAACCGAUUAGUAAAUACUCAAUUUGUAUCUGCUAUAUAUUACCUAAAAUUGCUGACAAAAUUCUGAUUUUUUUUCUUGUUUGAAAAAAGCUUUGAAACUGGAGUAUAUUUAAGUACUAUCUUCAACCUCAAUCAUGCCUAAAGAAUUAAAAAAAAUGAGAGAACACUGAAUUGAAAAUGAAAGCAAAUUAAAUCUGAAAUAAAAACUUGUAUAAGAUGUAGAAGAAUUAGAAACGAUGGUAGAGAAAGAGAUGGUAGGGAGAACAAAUAAGUUUUUUGAAUUUAUAAAAGAGUUAAUUGGUGUUAAAAAAAAACAGAGGGGGUGAUCGGUUGGGUUGUAGGAAGUGACUUUAGCUUUAAUUUUCAUCUACAACCUUAAAUACUACUAAUCAUACCUUAUCUUAGUUUUUAAAGCUACAACAAAAAAACUAAAGUUACUGCAAAAACAUACAAAAAAUGAUUGUAAAAAUCUUAUUUUCUAAAACCCAACCAAUCACCCCCUCUAGUUAAACAGUUUGACUCGUGACAUGAUCUUUAGUUAUAAAUAACAGUUCUUUUAAGAAAUUUGAAUGGGUUGAUAAAAAAAAAAAACGUGUUGACAUUGACAUGAAAAAAUUUAGGGAUUCAGUUCUUUUUUACCAAAGAAUUGAAAAUAAAAAAAUUAAAUUUUCUUAUUGUUGUUUAUUGAAAUAUCAAAUAUUUGAAAGAAUAUUGUGUACUGAAUAAACUGCAGUAGUUGACAAAAAAAAGAAAAAAGAAAAAACUGCAGUAAUAUAAAUAUGUAGCUGCUAAUAUAUACCUCUGGUAAUUUUGUCUCCCAUCAUCCCAUGGCAGCAUUGAUUAUGCCAUCUUCGAUGCGUCAUGCUGAUCUUUGCUCCUACAAAUGUGAAACGUACAUAAACCAAUUGUAUUUUUGAAUAUUUGAAAGACUAUAACUAUAGAAAAAGUACCAAAUUGCUCACCAUCGAAUGUUGAGGAUGUUUUCAAUCUACCUAUUGGUGUAAAACCUAUUGAACAGUAGGAACUCGUUUACCUUUUAUCAAAAUAUAUUCUUCUUCAUUUGUUUAUUUUUUUCCUCUAUAGAUUGAUAUUGUGCUUUAGGAGAUUUCUAGUUGUGGUGACAAAAAAAAGAAGGAGAUUUCUAGUUGCAGUAAAACAUGGAACGGAUUUCUCAUAAUUUGCCAUCAUUAUAAUAACAAUGAAUCACUUACUUCUUCCUUUUAAAAUGUGAUGCUCCUGGUUUUGAUAAUUCAAUCACAAAUUUAAAACUUUUUGGUAAUAGAUAAAACGUAGAGAAGAAAGCCAGUACACUUACAGAUUAUAUAUUGGAGAGAUGAAGAAAACAGUUUCAUAAAAAAGUAACUAACGUGGUAUUAAAAUUCAGAGAAAAAUAAGGAAUUUUUUAGGUAGUUGAGGAUUGCAUAAAAAUGGGAGAUGGCGAAAAUUUGUCUUUAUUUUAAUUUUUUUUUGGUAAACAUUUGCCAAAUGUCAAAACAUGAUUCGUCAAGCGACUUGCACUUUAGUAUAUAAGGAAUAAGGGAUUACUCACGCUCUCUUUUUCUAAUUCCCUUUAAAAUUUAUUUUAUAAUAAAAAAUAUUUUAUCAGUUUAUGUUUAACAGAAGCUUGAAUCAUAGUUCCUUGCUAUAUAACAAUCGUAUACAAAGCUGAAUUUCAUCUAUUCAAACAGAUUUUAGAUACUGUAUAAUUUAAAAUAUAAAUGUUUUUACCUUUUUCCAAGAAAAGUUGAGGAUAAUUUUCCAAGUUGAAAAUAACUUCAUGUUUCUGAUAUUAAUACUGGAACAAAGCUCUGAUUUUCUACCAUUUAUAUUAUGAUAAUAAAACCCUCUACUUGAAUCAUGCAUAUAGAAUCAUAAAAAAUCGUUUCAGAAGAAAAGAGAAUAGAAGAAUAAGAAAGAGAGAAAACAACUAUAGAAAAUAAUUGUUGUUUGAAUGUUAUGUAAAAAAAAGAAAAAAACAGUUGAAAGUUAAUGAAUUAAUAUUGGAGCAUGAUGGAUGGUGCCAUGAGAAAAAAUAGGGAUUUGAAAUUUGCAGUUACGAAAAUAUUUGAAUUAGAAAACCGUGGCUUAAUUUUUUUUUUCUUAGGUUUUAUAAAAAAAAAUAAAAAUUACAUGUAUCAAAAUCUAAUUGCUCUAGUGACUUGUGCUUUAGUAUAUAAAGGAGAAAAGGUAGCUAGAUUCGUGUUUCGAUCAAGACAAUGAAAAGUUGUUCUACAUUUUCAUGCCUUAAUAUGUUACUAUAAAACAUUAAAAAUUCCUUAAAAAUACCCAAACUAAAUUUUAUUGAACUUUUUAAUACCCAAACUUUUUCGCUACCUAGUUUAAUACUCCAAAUAAUUAAAAUUUUCAUUUAAUACACAAAAUUUCAAAAUUAUGCCCCUUUUAAUAUACAAAACUUGUUUCAUUGAAAAUACUAAUAAGUUUUAAACAAAAUCUAAGAAAAAAUAAAAUUUUCUAAUUUUAUUUUAAAAUUUAAGAAAAAGGUAAACAAUUAGGGAGAAAUUUUUAUAAUUUAAUUUUGAAGAAAAAUAAAUAAAGUUGUUUUCUGUUUCAGAAAACAAACUAAAUUCAAUAUUUAAAACUUAAAACUUUUAUUAAAAAAAUUGAAUAUUAUACAAAAUUAAGUUACUUUUAUUUCACAAACAAAAAAUGAAAUUAGAAUUUUUUGAGAUUAUUUUUAAAUUUUAGAGAUUUUUUGAAUUCGUUUGAAAUCUAUUAGUAUAUUUAAUUAAAAUGAAAAGAAGUCUGGGUAUUAAUAUGGGCAUAUGUUUAAAAGUUUGUAUAUUAAAAUGAGCAAAAUAAUUAGUUGGUGUAUUAAACUGGGUAACGAAACAGUUUGGGUAUUAAAAAAUUUAACAAAAUUUAGUUGGGAUAUUUUUGGAAUUUCCCUAUUUAUAAUUAUGUCCAUGCCUUUGUGUUUUGAGCAAUUCUGUAACAUCCGCCGUUCGUUAGAAUCACAGUCAGCCAUAACAAAAAUUUCUUUAUGGAUCAGCACUAGCUUUUUUAACCAAAAUGAACCGUCUUAUAUUUAAACUUAACUCCAAUAGAAAACCGAAGUCUUAAAUAUCUUAAACGAAACUUGAAGAAAACAAACAUCCAUUUUUUUCAAAAGUUGGUACCACCCAAGACUUUUGCUCUUGCAUAUUUUUCAUAAGUACCUGCAAUAAUGGAGGAUGAAUAUUGGGAUUAUUUAGUGACGGCAUUCUAAAAACCUACGGACUCAUGUCAAGACAAAUAAUACAACAAGCAUAAUUAUAAACUAAUAUCACCUACCAUGCAACAAUCCACAGCUAGACCUCAAAGACCAAAUCCGCUCGUGGUCAUUGGUUAGUUGGCACUUGGCACUGUCCAACCCACAAUCCUAUGUCAGUAUCUGUUAUUGGUCUGUUAGUUCAUUUGGCAUUGUCCCCCCCCCGUCAAAAGCAGGUGGGACAAACCAGGGCAUAGUCCAAUGUUUGGGUAUGAUUUCUGGUACCAACCUCGGUUCAAUACGAUGAUCAGCACAUCUUGGGGAGCACCUAAAUCAUUCUCCAAAGGUUUCAAUCUCCAGCAUGUUGCUGAUGGCUUGUAUGGAAGUCAUUUACAUAUUUAUAAAUGGCCAGAAGGUGAAAUGAAACAGAUUAUUGACCUUGGUAAUACUGGUCUCUUACCUCUUGAGGUAAUACCAUUACUCCAACAUGUUACAUUAAACGUGAUGAUCUUUUUCUAUCAAGGAAUAUAAUCUAGUGUGAUAUGUGGUUGUUGCAGAUUAGAUUCUUGCACGACCCGUCCAAAGAUAUAGGGUAUGUUGGGAGUGCCUUGUCGAGUAAUAUGAUAAGAUUUUUCAGGAACAGUGAUGAUACAUGGAGCCAUGAGGCAAGUAGAGUUUUUAAAUGAUCUUCAUUUCCUUUUUUUUGUUUUUCCUUUUCUUUCAAAUCUAUGAUUAACAUGUUACACACAAUCUAUGGUUAUUUGAAUUGAUUAUUAUUGUAGGUGGUUAUAUCAGUAAAACCAUUGAAAGUAGAAAACUGGAUUCUUCCAGAAAUGCCAGGGCUUAUCACUGACUUCUUGAUCUCCCUCGAUGAUCGGUUUUUCUACUUUGUGAACUGGCUUCAUGGCGACAUUCGUCAGUACAACAUCGAAGACCCUAAGAACCCUUUCUUAACCGGACAGAUUUGGGUGGGAGGACUGCUACAGAAGGGCAGUCCUGUUAAGGCUGUUAGAGAAGACGGUAGCACUUACCAGUUCGAUGUUCCUCAGAUCAAGGUUUGUUGUACCCUCGGAAAGAGCAUUAGAGUUUCAUUUUAUAUGAACUCUAUACAACCUCUUCUUUUAAUAUGUCGAUGUUUGCAGGGGAAAUCUCUAAGAGGAGGACCUCAGAUGAUCCAGUUGAGCCUCGAUGGGAAAAGAUUGUAUGCAACGAACUCGCUCUUCAGUGCGUGGGACCGUCAGUUUUACCCGGAACUCAUGGAUAAAGGAUCACACAUUAUUCAGAUUGAUGUUGAUACAGAGAGAGGUGGUCUCUCAAUAAACCCUGAUUUCUUUGUUGACUUUGGGGAUGAACCUGAUGGUCCUGCCCUUGCUCACGAGAUGAGAUAUCCUGGGGGAGACUGCACCUCCGAUAUCUGGAUUUGAAUCUACACCUAUGAAAGAGUAAUGCUGNN